AAUCUAUGCACUUUUGGUUAAGUAAUCUCCAUUCUAAUAUAGUAAAUGGAGCACAUAUAUAUAGAGCACCAAUCACUUUGCAAGGGAAGUGAUGUAAUCACUUUUCCCUUUAUAAAGGGUGGUUAUCAGGUCCAAUGCCUCAUUAUACAGAGACUUGGCUGUCAGCACUGCACUACUGGAGGGUCUACCACGUGUUCUAAAUUGGUUAGACAUUAUACCCAUUUGAAUUGCCUUCACUCCUGAGUCUCUGAGUGUCAGGUUCAAGCUGCUGACCGACGAGGUUCCUUAUGCUUGCGAACCAGUUAGAUUCUAUACACAUUUGAAUCUUCCCCAUAUUCGAAUAUCUGAAUGUCAGACUCAAGCUGAUGAUAUAUGAGGUAUGGUCCUCGCUGUAUCAAUCAAGUCCCAUUGAAAUAUUGAAACGUUGUUCAUACAUCUUUGAAUGACCUUUUAUGUGCUGACAAUAUGUUCUGAAAUGAAGAGAUUUUACCCCUGAUGAAGUCUUGGAACAAGACGAAACGCGUUGGGUUAUUUAUCUAUCUAUUAUCUGAUGUUACCUCCGAAUCUACAAUAAGGAGAAGGAGGAAAUCGUAGUGAUAUAUCUACGCUUUUUUCUCAUCACUACAAACUGAUUGUUCAAAUUGUGUGACAAAUGUAAAUGUAUCAACUCUGUAUACUUAUGAACAUUUGUGUCGGGUUUAUAUGUUGUUUUAAUAAAUUUUUAUGUUAGUAUUUGU
Pseudophryne corroboree (corroboree frog) is the source of this 737-nucleotide long non-coding RNA. RefSeq lists it as uncharacterized. The transcript is spliced from 5 exons. Lineage: Eukaryota; Metazoa; Chordata; Amphibia; Anura; Myobatrachidae. The record is from RefSeq and is a predicted model, not a curated record.